CCCUAAAUAUAAAGAUGAAAUUUCUUUUCUUUAUA
This 35-nucleotide transfer RNA is filed under the name Buccinulum robustum. RNAcentral's name for it is "partial tRNA-Leu". Lineage: Eukaryota; Metazoa; Mollusca; Gastropoda; Neogastropoda; Buccinidae. The record is from RNAcentral.